Long non-coding RNA from Cornus florida, 2829 nucleotides. RefSeq lists it as uncharacterized. The record is from RefSeq and is a predicted model, not a curated record. The transcript has 4 exons. NCBI's taxonomy places the organism in Eukaryota, Viridiplantae, Streptophyta, Magnoliopsida, Cornales, Cornaceae.
ACAGUUGGUAGAGAGAGACACUUCGAUCGUGGGUGAGACAAUUUGUGAGGCCAUUGUCCCGAUAGCAACUUGCUUCCCUCGCCGCCCAAUUUCCAGAGAUUCUCCAUUUCAAGCAAAACAUUCAAGCCCCCAAUGGCCACUCUCACCAUUGCCCCAAAUGUUGGGCUCUCCGAAACUUUCAACAGAUUGAGAAAAAAAAAGAAGGCAAAGUCUAUCUGCGGGACUAUCAUCAGUAUACAUCCUUACUUUUGGAAUAGCUUGAGUUGUAUAAUGCGAAUUCAUCAUUUUCGUGGUGACUAGUUCUAUUUGGUUUGGCUUAACGGUCAAGUCGUUCGAUGCGAGAGAAUGCAAAUUCCAUUUCCAAACGGGAGGAAGGUAGUCUCAGAGAAUAUGUCCUUUUCGCCCAAGCCUAUAAACUUAACACCUGAGCAUAUGGCAUCGAUGCUGUGCUGCUGUAAGGACUGAGAUGCUCCAAAAUAUAGUACAAGGGGGCAUCAUGUCGAACAGUACAUCGAAGAGGAUCUUCAUCUACUUGGUUGACCAGCCCAAGGAAGCCACAAAUUGCAUGCAGAGUCAAGACUUGGUGGUGCAGGAAUGAAGCUCCCCAUAAAGGAGUUUCCUCGCAUGUUGAUCAGUAUGCUAAGCAGACAGAUUAUCUGGUAUGUAUUGGACUCGUUGGGCCUCCAGCUUCAAGACCUGGUGGUUAAUGGUUAUGGUUCAGGUCUGAGUUUCUGUGGAGAGUUGCUUGUGUUUUUCUGGUCUCAAUCGUUUUCUUUGUUUCAUUCGUAUUGGCUUAUUAUGCUCACUGCAUAUGUUUUGUUGUUGUUUGGUUGUGUAAUGUCUCCUUACUAUGUGGUAUUGUUCUGUGUAGAUGUUAUGAUCAUCUGGCUGUAAGUUUUGUUUUUUGUUGAAUAGGAAUUUUCGUUUUAGCUAGACAAUUGGUAUGGCAUGGGUCCUAUUAACAGCGAAAUUAGUCAUAGCUUGAGUCAUGUACAACUCCAAUAUUAGGUGAUGGUAGCAUUUUAUAUUAUGGAAAAGAGAUUAUUAUUAACAGUUGUGGAGUAUUUCUGAAGUGCUAUGCUAAAUAUAUAUGGGUCUUAAAGUUUGGAAAGUUACUUCUCUCUAAAGUGGUGGAGUAUCUAUAUAUUUCUUAAAAAUUGUUUAUCAUUUCAGAUUGUCUAUCAUGGCUACAACAAUUUGUAUUAAGAGGAUUGCUAGCUACAGUUGCGCUAUAGAAGGAUAGUCGCCCGCCUUAUUGGUUGAAAAAUCAAUCAUAAAAGGUAUAAUUAAUAUUUCUUUCCUACUUUAAUGGAACUUUAAAACUUAACAUUUUAUGACCAAAUUAGCCUUUAAAAUUCUAACCUCUUUAUUUUCUUUGGGCGUUUGUAUAUAUACAUACAUGUAUAAAACCUUCAUUAUUUAUCUUUUUGUACAUUUGUCUUUAUAUGUGUGUGUGUGUGAAUCUUUAGUUUUCAUCGUUAUUAAGUUUUAAUUGAAGUAAUAUUAUGAGAUUGAGUUUUAAUUGAAUUAAAAUUAUAGAAUUUGAGUUUUAGUUAACUUGUAAAAGAAAAAUAAGAAUGGUUUCAUAAUUCAUACAUGAUAUGGUUAACCAUAUAUGUUUAGGAUAAUGUUUAGCUCCUAAACAUCACAUUUAAUAAUAAAAUAAUUCAUACUUAAAAACACUAUAUACAUUUAUUCAAUGAUUGAUCCGAGAAAGUAAAGAAAGAUGUAGAUUGUUUUAUUACUAAAGGUAACGUGUUAUUUUGUAAUUGGACCACAUAUGGGUGAGUAACUUCACCCUAUUCAUCAGUGAGUAGCUAAGCAUUGUCCGUGUGUUUAUAUAUAUAUAUAUAAACAAAGAAAAGGAAAAGAACUGAAAAAAGAAAGGAAAUAAUCUAUUCACACGAGUUUUGGUCAUAAAAAAAACUACUAAAAAAAAUAAUAAUAAUAAUGAAGGAAGAUUAGAAAAAACAAAUGAAAGAAGGAAGAUUAUUCCUAUGGUAGGAGGGGAAAAUGUUAAGUUAUAAAAGUUAAUUUGGUCAUAAAAUGUUAAGUUUUAAAGUUUAAUGAAAAUAAAAAAGAUGCAUUAAUUAUAUCUUUUAUGAUUGGUUUUCAACCAAUAAGAGGCGCGACUGUCUUUCUACAAUCGCAUAUUAGACUGUAGCUCCUCCUUGUAUUAAUAGACUAAAAGGUUGAAUUCUUCUAAUCAUUUUGCAAUAUCAUGCCACAAAGGUAAUAAGUGGCCACUAUAUAAUUGAGUGUUGAGUGGUUUAUAUUAUUAUUAUUUAUUUCUAUAUUGAACAUCAAAGUUGAACGAUUCAUGCAACUUUUUGAAAGUUUAAAUUCAAUUCUACUUGUCGAAAUUUAGAAAGGUUUAUAUUUUCUAAUCAUUUUGCAAUAUCAUGCUGCAAAGAUGGUAAUAAGUGGCCAAUUUGUGGCCACUGUAAAUUGAGUGGUUUAAAUUUAAUUUCAUUUUGAUUGAAAAAAAAAAAAUCAAAGGUGAUCAGUUGAAGCAACAUUUAAGGACUCGUACGUUUUGUAACAACUCAAGUUGUUGAAGGUAAAUUAAUAAUGUACGACAGCCCCAUGAAGUUGUUGAAGGUAAAUUAAUGUAUGACAGCCACAUCAAUGUACUGAAAUAAUUGAGAGCAGUUCAUGGUGAAGGACCAGGUACUCUCAACGUGUCCGGUCAUUAGAUGAAUUGUGAAACUUCUCUCAAUCAGUUGAAUAAACCUUCAUGUGAUUACAUUUUUCAAUAAAUUACUAAGUGGACUACGAGGCAAGGUAGGAAACACGAAUCUUCUUUAAUACCAAGUUUUGUAUUGUAAU